AUUGAACGCUGGCGGCAGGCCUAACACAUGCAAGUCGAGCGGAUGAAGGGAGCUUGCUCCUGGAUUCAGCGGCGGACGGGUGAGUAAUGCCUAGGAAUCUGCCUGGUAGUGGGGGAUAACGUCCGGAAACGGGCGCUAAUACCGCAUACGUCCUGAGGGAGAAAGUGGGGGAUCUUCGGACCUCACGCUAUCAGAUGAGCCUAGGUCGGAUUAGCUAGUUGGUGGGGUAAAGGCCUACCAUGGCGACGAUCCGUAACUGGUCUGAGAGGAUGAUCAGUCACACUGGAACUGAGACACGGUCCAGACUCCUACGGGAGGCAGCAGUGGGGGAUAUUGGACAAUGGGCGAAAGCCUGAUCCAGCCAUGCCGCGUGUGUGAAGAAGGUCUUCGGAUUGUAAAGCACUUUAAGUUGGGAGGAAGGGCAGUAAGUUAAUACCUUGCUGUUUUGACGUUACCAACAGAAUAAGCACCGGCUAACUUCGUG
RNAcentral lists this ribosomal RNA (484 nucleotides) under uncultured bacterium. RNAcentral describes it as "partial 16S ribosomal RNA". It matches the Rfam family "Bacterial small subunit ribosomal RNA", at positions 30 to 507 of the family's 1533-position model. The record is from RNAcentral.